This is a regulatory RNA element of Rhodococcus equi ATCC 33707, 100 nucleotides long. It matches the Rfam family "atpB RNA". Lineage: Bacteria; Bacillati; Actinomycetota; Actinomycetes; Mycobacteriales; Nocardiaceae. The record is from Rfam.
CGAGCCGACCUGGUCGACUUGUUAGAUCGUCAAUGUCCGAUCGAACCGCAGACAGCGAUGCCUGCGGCCGACUACGGGAGAGACCGCUGAGCGUCACCUU